This is a long non-coding RNA of Gigantopelta aegis, 487 nucleotides long. RefSeq lists it as uncharacterized. The record is from RefSeq and is a predicted model, not a curated record. NCBI's taxonomy places the organism in Eukaryota, Metazoa, Mollusca, Gastropoda, Neomphalida, Peltospiridae. The transcript has 2 exons.
AUAUGCAGUCACGCAAAUAACGGUAGUGACGUAAUAAUCGAUAGAUGUUGCUAAGGAAAAGGAUUAGUUUUGCCGAUGUUAUUUGUCUAAAUCACGCUGAAAGCACCGGUUCUUUCUGAUACCUAUGAGAAGCAAUGUUAGACACGAUCAAAAAAUCACCGAUUGAAGGCCUGUGUCAGGAUGCGAACCCAGCACCUACCAGCCUUAAGGACCAUGCGACCGAGACAGGUUAAAGAACGACAGUUCACUAUGUUUGGCGUGUCGCGGCUUGUCAAGUCUCCUAUUAAACACAUUCAGUGUAAUAACGACGUGUGUUUGUUUGUCUGGACUUUUGGAAACACCUAUUGAUUACACGUCAAAUUAGAAACGGAUAUUUAAUAGUGAAGUAAGAGUAUAAAUACACAGGAAUGUUGUCCGUGCAAACAACUUUUGGCCUUCUGAACCGCCAAUAAAAACAGAGCAGUUUAAAAGAUGCUCCAUAAUACGA